CACGUAGGGCGCAAGCGUUGUCCGGAAUUAUUGGGCGUAAAGAGCUCGUAGGCGGUCUGUUACGUCCGCUGUGAAAACCCGGGGCUUAACCCCUGGCUUGCAGUGGAUACGGACAGACUAGAGGUAGGUAGGGGAGAAUGGAAUUCCCGGUGUAGCGGUGAAAUGCGCAGAUAUCGGGAGGAACACCGGUGGCGAAGGCGGGUCUCUGGGCCGAUACUGACGCUGAGGAGCGAAAGCGUGGGGAGCGAACAGG
This 253-nucleotide ribosomal RNA is filed under the name uncultured bacterium. RNAcentral describes it as "partial 16S ribosomal RNA". It matches the Rfam family "Bacterial small subunit ribosomal RNA", at positions 524 to 776 of the family's 1533-position model. The record is from RNAcentral.